GACGAACGCUGGCGGCGUGCUUAACACAUGCAAGUCGAACGCGCCUGUCCUCUGGGUUUCUGGGGGGCGGGUGAGUGGCGAACGGGUGAGUAACACGUGAGUAACCUGCCCCCUUCUUCGGGAUAACGGUCUGAACGGGCUGCUAAUACCGGGUAUUCACUGGUCUCCGCAUGGGGUCUGGUGGCAAGGUUUUUUUCUGGUUGGGGAUGGGCUCGCGGCCUCUCAGCUUGUUGGUGGGGUGCUGGCCCACCAAGGCGUUGACGGGUAGCAGGCCUGUGCGGGGGAACGGUCACAUUGGGACUGGGAGGCGGCCCAGACGCGUGCGGGAGGCAGCAGCGGGGAAUAUUGUACAAUGGCCGCAACCCUGAGGCGGCGCCGCCGCUUGGGGGAUGGAGGCCCUCGGGUUGUGAGCCUCUGGCGACCGUGGUGGAGCCGCGACGUGGGUCGUGGUGAGGGUGGGGGGUAAAGAAGCGCCGGCUAACUACGUG
This 488-nucleotide ribosomal RNA is filed under the name uncultured bacterium. RNAcentral describes it as "partial 16S ribosomal RNA". It matches the Rfam family "Bacterial small subunit ribosomal RNA", at positions 28 to 507 of the family's 1533-position model. The record is from RNAcentral.